This 358-nucleotide ribosomal RNA is filed under the name uncultured bacterium. Its description in RNAcentral is "bacterial SSU rRNA". It matches the Rfam family "Bacterial small subunit ribosomal RNA", at positions 9 to 353 of the family's 1533-position model. The record is from RNAcentral.
GAGUUUUGAUCAUGGCUCAGGAUGAACGCUAGCUACAGGCUUAACACAUGCAAGUCGAGGGGCAGCAUGGGUCUUAGUUUGCUAAAGGCCGAUGGUCGACCGGCGCACGGGUGAGUAACACGUAUCCAACCUGCCGUCUACUCUUGGACAGCCUUCUGAAGGAAGAUUAAUACAACGAUGGCAUCAUGAGUCCGCAUGCUCACAUGAUUAAAGGUAUUCCGGUAGACGAGUGGGGAUGCGUUCCAUUAGAUAGUAGGCGGGGUAACGGCCCACCUAGUCUUCGAUGGAUAGGGGUUCUGAGAGGAAGGUCCCCCACAUUGGAACUGAGACACGGUCCAAACUCCUACGGGAGGCUGCA